UCCUAUGGAAAUCCUGAGUUGAAGCCCAAUCCUGUCUGAUCUCGGAAGCUAAGCAGGAUUGGGCUUGGUUAGUACUUGGAUGGGAGACCAGCUUGGAAGACCAGGGGCUAUAGGCG
Molecule: ribosomal RNA, 116 nt
Filed under: Pteropus alecto (black flying fox)
Lineage: Eukaryota; Metazoa; Chordata; Mammalia; Chiroptera; Pteropodidae
Source: RNAcentral